CAGUCGCCGCGGGAAAACGAGGGGGGCAAGCGUUGUUCGGAAUUAUUGGGCGUAAAGGGUGCGUAGGCGGUUUGAUAAGUCAUCUGUGAAAUCUCUGGGCUCAACCUGGGAAUUGCAGUGGAUACUGGGUCACUAGAGUGUGGUAGAGGAUAGUGGAAUUUCCGGUGUAGCAGUGAAAUGCGUAGAGAUCGGAAGGAACAUCUGUGGCGAAGGCGACUAUCUGGGCCAACACUGACACUGAGGCACGAAAGCGUGGGGAGCAAACAGGAUUAGAUACCCCAGUAGUCCCUGUCUCUUAUAA
This 301-nucleotide ribosomal RNA is filed under the name uncultured bacterium. Its description in RNAcentral is "partial 16S ribosomal RNA". It matches the Rfam family "Bacterial small subunit ribosomal RNA", at positions 509 to 809 of the family's 1533-position model. The record is from RNAcentral.